Molecule: long non-coding RNA, 1059 nt
Filed under: Phoenix dactylifera (date palm)
Lineage: Eukaryota; Viridiplantae; Streptophyta; Magnoliopsida; Arecales; Arecaceae
Description: long non-coding RNA (PDAC_LNC007392)
Source: RNAcentral
AAUGCUCGCUACACGGAGGAAUCAUUACAAGAGUAAAAGUGCGUAAUUUAUUUAUAAAUUUAAAAAAAAAGAAAAGAGAAAAUAAUAUUGAUCUUGGAAAAACGAUAGUGUGAAAGUUGUCGUUGUAAAAAUUCGAGUAAACUGGAAUAUUACAGAUAAAGCCCAUGAGGUAUUAAAGUAAAUAUCCACAACUCUCGAAAUCCUGCAAGAUAGGAUGAUUUUGAAUCAGUGAUUAGGUCUUAUCUGACCAAUUCUUAGAAACUACUAGCUUUAGCAGUAUUUUGGAAAAUCUAAAGCCUUAGCUUGUGCAUGGUCCAGAUAUCACCAAGCACCCAAGUACAAAUAAACCUUACAACUCUCUAACGGAAGCUUAAUAACCUCAACUUAAGUUGCAUACUGACCUAGGAUUUGGGCUUACUUAGUAAUUAAAACAUUGUGUACUUUUGAAAUUCUUGGCACUUAUGCAUUUGAAAUUAGAUUUUAUAAAAUAAUAAAAUAAAUUCUUUCGACAGCAGUUUGUGGGUAUCUGAGUCGGAAACCCUCACGAGACAAAACUCGUCCACUAGGGCCACCUAAGGGUUUAAAGCCUUAUUGCAUACGGUAAAUGCAAUCGCGAUUCCUGCGAAAGUGAGUUCGUUUUUAUUUUGCUCGAGAACUAGCAAAAUGUAGGUUGGAGGGUGUGAUAAGUGCUAAAUAAUGCAUAAAUUAAUAUCUUAUUUAUAGCACUUAUCAUUAUUCUAAUUGAAAUAUUUUGUAAAUUCAAUUAAAAAAUUGUGUUACCUUCAUCAUUGCAUUUUAAUAAAUUAUUAAAGGUAAUUCGAGUUUUACUUAUGUACUGAUUGAGCUUAAUGUAUGCAGGUCAAGUCACGCUUAAUUAGGUAAAGCCUAAACUACACUACAUCAUUUCACAAUUUCACAUUCUCCGGAGUCGACUCUAAGAACUCAUCUCCGAAAUCUAAUGCUAUCCAAAUUUCAAAAUAUACCAUCUUUAGCUGCACGGAUCCUAAAGAAUUUCAGCUUUAUCCCUUCCAAAAUGCUCUGCAUCCUUCCCAGCAAAAN